AGAGUUUGAUCCUGGCUCAGGACGAACGCUGGCGGCGUGCUUAACACAUGCAAGUCGAGCGAUGAAGCUUCCUUCGGGAAGUGGAUUAGCGGCGGACGGGUGAGUAACACGUGGGUAACCUGCCUCAAAGUGGGGGAUAGCCUUCCGAAAGGAAGAUUAAUACCGCAUAAUAUAAGAGAAUCGCAUGAUUUUUUUAUCAAAGAUUUAUUGCUUUGAGAUGGACCCGCGGCGCAUUAGCUAGUUGGUAAGGUAACGGCUUACCAAGGCAACGAUGCGUAGCCGACCUGAGAGGGUGAUCGGCCACAUUGGAACUGAGACACGGUCCAGACUCCUACGGGAGGCAGCAGUGGGGAAUAUUGCGCAAUGGGGGAAACCCUGACGCAGCAACGCCGCGUGGGUGAUGAAGGUCUUCGGAUUGUAAAGCCCUGUUUUCUAGGACGAUAAUGACGGUACUAGAGGAGGAAGCCACGGCUAACUACGUGCCAGCAGCCGCGGUAAUACGUAGGUGGCGAGCGUUGUCCGGAUUUACUGGGCGUAAAGGGUGCGUAGGCGGAUGUUUAAGUGGGAUGUGAAAUCCCCGGGCUUAACCUGGGGGCUGCAUUCCAAACUGGAUAUCUAGAGUGCAGGAGAGGAAAGCGGAAUUCCUAGUGUAGCGGUGAAAUGCGUAGAGAUUAGGAAGAACACCAGUGGCGAAGGCGGCUUUCUGGACUGUAACUGACGCUGAGGCACGAAAGCGUGGGUAGCAAACAGGAUUAGAUACCCUGGUAGUCCACGCCGUAAACGAUGGAUACUAGGUGUAGGGGGUAUCAACUCCCCCUGUGCCGCAGUUAACACAAUAAGUAUCCCGCCUGGGGAGUACGGUCGCAAGAUUAAAACUCAAAGGAAUUGACGGGGGCCCGCACAAGCAGCGGAGCAUGUGGUUUAAUUCGAAGCAACGCGAAGAACCUUACCUGGACUUGACAUCCCUUGCAUAGCCUAGAGAUAGGUGAAGCCCUUCGGGGCAAGGAGACAGGUGGUGCAUGGUUGUCGUCAGCUCGUGUCGUGAGAUGUUAGGUUAAGUCCUGCAACGAGCGCAACCCUUGUUAUUAGUUGCUACCAUUAAGUUGAGCACUCUAAUGAGACUGCCUGGGUAACCAGGAGGAAGGUGGGGAUGACGUCAAAUCAUCAUGCCCCUUAUGUCCAGGGCUACACACGUGCUACAAUGGUAGGUACAAUAAGACGCAAGACCGUGAGGUGGAGCAAAACUUAUAAAACCUAUCUCAGUUCGGAUUGUAGGCUGCAACUCGCCUACAUGAAGCUGGAGUUGCUAGUAAUCGCGAAUCAGAAUGUCGCGGUGAAUACGUUCCCGGGCCUUGUACACACCGCCCGUCACACCAUGAGAGCUGGUAACACCCGAAGUCCGUGAGGUAACCGUAAGGAACCAGCGGCCGAAGGUGGGAUUAGUGAUUGGGGUGAAGUCGUAACAAGGUAGCCGUAGGAGAACCUGCGGCUG
Molecule: ribosomal RNA, 1492 nt
Filed under: Clostridium botulinum
Lineage: Bacteria; Bacillati; Bacillota; Clostridia; Eubacteriales; Clostridiaceae
Description: bacterial SSU rRNA
Rfam family: Bacterial small subunit ribosomal RNA
Source: RNAcentral